AUUAGAUCAGCAGAUAUAGGUAGAAAAACAAACAACCUUUUGGACUCAGUGUCCCUUACUGACCUCUUUUUUUUUUUCCUUAUAUCCUUAGACUGCUGCAGUUAUGAAAACAGUAUACCUAUGACAUGAAGUGAUUUUUUUUUAUCAGAUACUCUCUGCCUGUAUAAGUUACAUUAUCAAAUCAGAAGAUAAAGCCAUGUUCCAUGAAAAAGGGGAACCAGUGCGCAGUCUUAAAGAGGAGAUUUUUUUCAAGUAGCAGACUGCAAAUCAGCCUUGCCAGGCCAAUAUCGAUACACAAGGGUGUUGAGGCUGAGCAUCAGGGGAGCCAUGGGACACUGUGGGAAGACCGCGGGAGAGACAGGGAGCCUUUUCGCGCAAAGGGGGACAGAGCUCUGGGGCUGCUCCACCUGGCUCUGUGCCACGGCCAUGAAGGAGGAAGAUGCCCCUUGAAAAGAGCAAUGUUUAUACUGCAAAAAGAGCCACCAUAGUAUCCGUUAUCCCUGCCUGCCCAGCUUCUCAGACGAAUAUCACUUAAGGCAGCAAGAGGCAAUUCAGCUGAAGAAAUGAAAGCAAGACUAGUCUUCUUGCAGAAAGUAGACAUUUUGCAAAAACAAAUGGAGCAGAGAGAAGACUGGCUGUCUGUGACUGAAACGACCAUGACAGGACAAUCUCUCAGUACAUCAGAUGGAUAAAAUAACAGCAGACUUCUCUGUGGAAAUCUGAUUGAAACACACUCAUAUGAGGCGCCUGGGUUUUUCUCAGAGAAUGGAAAUUAAGAUUGCAGUAACUUUUUUAUACCUGUUCAAAUACGUUCCAGUCCUCCAUUUUUUUUCCCAGUAAGGAGACAGAGAGGCUUGGACAUGUCCUGUUGCUUUCAGAUGCGGUUUGGAAUUGCUGAAUAUUUCACAAGAAGCAAUUUUUCUGGGGAUAAUGCCUGCAACUUGGGCUGAAAUUGUAUCAGUGCCUGUGGCAUUUCAGAACCAGAGAAGGCCAGAGUGCCACACAGCAAGCUACUUACUGCUGUCACCAGGCAGCAGAACAAAAAUCUUUUAUGCCACCCUAUUGUUCGGCAGUAAAUAGGAGCCUCUGGGGAAGGGAAAAAGUAGCUUUUUUUUCCUGCUAAUGGAUUUUCCUCUGGAGUAAUCAAUUCAGUUUUGGAUGACUCCCAAAGGAUAAUUUUUCUCCCUUUUCCAAGAAUCUGAAUCUCCAUUCAGGAUGUGGAAGUAUUAUAACUGUGGACUUAUUUUUAUAAAAAGGAUAACUACAGAUUUCAUCACUGGCUUGUCUCUGAGAACUGCAGUUGACUUUUUGAAUCAUAGAUGCAAACAAUACAAAAAGAUCUGUUCCAUAUGUUGUUCUGCUCAGUACGGUAGUUUGGCGGAGUCCAUUUGCAAUGAAUGAUGCUUAGGAAAGAAACAAAACCUGAAGUGUCAUGUAAAGAAAUGAUGAACUUGGGGAUAAAACACAAAGCUAAAGCUCAGGUGCUUUUGAAUUCAGGGACAGACACCAUCGAAUACAUUGUAUGUGAUUGUGAAUUCCUCCUCAAAUGGCAGUGAACAACCCUUUUCAGGGUAAACAGGCUUCGAGUUAGAUUUCCAGAGCUACCUCCCUGCCUCACACUAUUCAAACCUAGGCAUUUGAAAUUGGUCUUGACAGCCAACUUCAUCUUUAAGCUCCCAAGCACCUUUCAAAAAUAUCCCCUUCAGCCCCUCUCUGACUCAUUUCUCCCAUCCUUCCUGUUCCUCUCUAUUAAAAUCUAGGCCUAUCUCUUUUAAAGUAUUUGUAUGGAAUAGGGCGUGGGGGAGGUUAAUCUCAGUUGAGGAGUUUAAGUACUAUUGUACUUAAAAGUACUACUCAUUAUUUCUCAUCUCAUUUUCACUCCCUUAAGAUACUUUGUUUCCGUUCUCUACUGAUUUUUAGUUCUCAAGAGAGACAGCUCUUUUUUAAGGCAUUAACUAGCUUGUUUUCCAGCUUAGGUUGUCUAAAUGCACAGGCUUCUGCUUUGUAAGACAGUCUCAUACAGCAGUUAUUCUGGCAUACCAAUUUGAGAUCUUUGAUGUGGGCAACUGAUUUCUCCCAUGUCUCUGCAUGCUGCCCAAGAUAGGGCAGUGACUGUCUGUGACUCCGGAAUGCUGUUUCAAAUGAUUAAUUCAUGCCUCACACUCAAGAACACACAAAAUAUCAUGAGGAACUUUUGCGUACAGGAAAACAAUAUCUCUAGAUAUUUGUGUUCAAGAUUUGAUUUGUAUAAAUGACAUUUUGCAUGCAAAUAUACAGCCAGCCAUUUCACUGCCUGCCAGGAGGCAUUUGAGCUAAACACAAUGAAGCUCCACUUAAUCCAAAAUGUCAUGUUCUCAUGUGCACCUAGCACAAAGGUUAUCACACACACAUCAGAAAGUAAACAAACUUAAAUUAUUUGGCAAAUAAUUAGCAUCACUGAAUUUUUGCCGUUUUCUUCCUGUGGUUGAAAUAAAUAAUGUCAAGGAAUAUGACUCCCA
Long non-coding RNA from Struthio camelus australis, 2498 nucleotides. The record is from Ensembl. NCBI's taxonomy places the organism in Eukaryota, Metazoa, Chordata, Aves, Struthioniformes, Struthionidae.